UUGACCUCGGAUCAGGUAGGACUACCCGCUGAACUUAAGCAUAUCAAUAAGCGGAGGAAAAGAAACCAACAGGGAUUGCCCCAGUAACGGCGAGUGAAGCGGCAACAGCUCAGAUUUGGAAUCUGGCCCCCAGGGCCCGAGUUGUAAUCUGGAGAGGAUGCUUCUGGCGCGGCGCCUUCCGAGUUCCCUGGAACGGGACGCCGGAGAGGGUGAGAGCCCCGUACGGUUGGACGCCUAGCCUUUGUGAAGCUCCUUCGACGAGUCGAGUAGUUUGGGAAUGCUGCUCAAAAUGGGAGGUAAAUUUCUUCUAAAGCUAAAUACCGGCCAGAGACCGAUAGCGCACAAGUAGAGUGAUCGAAAGAUGAAAAGCACUUUGAAAAGAGGGUCAAACAGUACGUGAAAUUGUUGAAAGGGAAGCGCCCGUGGCCAGACUUGUGCCCCGCGGACCACCCGGCGCCCUCAGCGCCGGUGCACUCCUCGGGGCGCAGGCCAGCAUCGGUUUUCCUAGGGGGAUAAAGGCGGCGGGAACGUGGCUCCCUCGGGAGUGUUAUAGCCCGCCGCGCCAUGCCCCUGGGGGGACCGAGGACCGCGCUUCGGCAAGGAUGCUGGCGUAAUGGCCACCGGCGAC
This 628-nucleotide ribosomal RNA is filed under the name Leptographium longiclavatum. RNAcentral describes it as "eukaryotic LSU rRNA". It matches the Rfam family "Eukaryotic large subunit ribosomal RNA", at positions 1 to 648 of the family's 3401-position model. The record is from RNAcentral. Lineage: Eukaryota; Fungi; Ascomycota; Sordariomycetes; Ophiostomatales; Ophiostomataceae.